RNAcentral lists this ribosomal RNA (254 nucleotides) under uncultured bacterium. RNAcentral's name for it is "partial 16S ribosomal RNA". It matches the Rfam family "Bacterial small subunit ribosomal RNA", at positions 1231 to 1500 of the family's 1533-position model. The record is from RNAcentral.
UGGCCGGUACAAUGCGAAGCGAAGCAGCGAUGUGAAGCAAAUCGCACCAAAGCCGGUCCCAGUUCGGAUAAGAGGCUGAAACUCGCCUCUUUGAAGUCGGAAUCGCUAGUAAUCGCAGAUCAGCAUGUUGCGGUGAAUACGUUUCCUGGUCUUGUACACACCGCCCGUCAAACCAUGAGAGUCGCCAACACCCGAAGUCCGCUUUGCGGCCUAAGGUGGGGGAGAUGAUUGGGGUUAAGUCGUAACAAGGUAAC